UACGUAGGGGGCAAGCGUUGUCCGGAAUUAUUGGGCGUAAAGAGCUCGUAGGCGGUUUGUCGCGUCUGCUGUGAAAACUCGGGGCUUAACCCCGGGCCUGCAGUGGGUACGGGCAGACUAGAGUGCGGUAGGGGAGACUGGAAUUCCUGGUGUAGCGGUGAAAUGCGCAGAUAUCAGGAGGAACACCAAUUGCGAAGGCAGCUCGCUGGGACGUUACUGACGCUGAGACGCGAAAGCGUGGGGAGCAAACAGG
RNAcentral lists this ribosomal RNA (253 nucleotides) under uncultured bacterium. RNAcentral's name for it is "partial 16S ribosomal RNA". It matches the Rfam family "Bacterial small subunit ribosomal RNA", at positions 524 to 776 of the family's 1533-position model. The record is from RNAcentral.